UAUGUCAAGUCCAAAUAUCUAUCUAUAUGUAUCUCAAUUUGAUGAUGAUAAUUCAAUUGAUGAAAUAUUAAAAGCUCUUUCUAAUAUUCAUCUUACUCUAGCUAGGGACUUCCUGAGUCAUCAUCUUAUAAGACCAUAUAGAAUAUUCUCUCCUCUCAAAAAGAGUAAUUGAUUCCUUGUUGACCACUCACAACCUCCAUGCACACUUCACUAUAUCCAAAAUAUCUCACACAU
Molecule: long non-coding RNA, 234 nt
Filed under: Elaeis guineensis (African oil palm)
Lineage: Eukaryota; Viridiplantae; Streptophyta; Magnoliopsida; Arecales; Arecaceae
Description: long non-coding RNA (EGUI_LNC030994)
Source: RNAcentral